This 148-nucleotide unclassified non-coding RNA is filed under the name uncultured Dothideomycetes. Its description in RNAcentral is "sequence contains ITS2". Lineage: Eukaryota; Fungi; Ascomycota; Dothideomycetes. The record is from RNAcentral.
CACAAAUCAAGCAAUGCUUGGUAUUGGGCGCCGCCCUAUCGGGCGUGCCUUAAACCCCUCGGCGUCGCCGUCCGUCUCCUAGCGCAGCGAGAGUAAAAUCCAGCGCCAUCGGGACGGGCCGCGCCCGCCGCAUAAUACUAUUUUUAUA